GAUGAAGAACGUAGCGAAAUGCGAUAAGUAGUGUGAAUUGCAGAAUUCAGUGAAUCAUCGAAUCUUUGAACGCACAUUGCGCCCCUUGGUAUCCCAUGGGGCAUGCCUGUUCGAGCGUCAUUUGUACCUUCAAGCUCUGCUUGGUGUUGGGUGUUUGUCUCGCCUCUGCGUGUAGACUCGCCUCAAAACAAUUGGCAGCCGGCGUAUUGAUUUCGGAGCGCAGUACAUCUCGCGCUUUGCACUCAUAACGACGACGUCCAAAAGUACAUUUUUACACUCUUGACCUCGGAUCAGGUAGGGAUACCCGCUGAACUUAAGCAUAUCAAUAAGCGGAGGA
RNAcentral lists this unclassified non-coding RNA (337 nucleotides) under soil metagenome. RNAcentral's name for it is "partial contains 5.8S ribosomal RNA, internal transcribed spacer 2, and large subunit ribosomal RNA". The stretch from base 1 to 120 matches the Rfam family "5.8S ribosomal RNA", at positions 35 to 154 of the family's 154-position model. The record is from RNAcentral.